This 3008-nucleotide long non-coding RNA is filed under the name Equus caballus (horse). RNAcentral's name for it is "lncRNA (ENSECAG00000035608.3)". Lineage: Eukaryota; Metazoa; Chordata; Mammalia; Perissodactyla; Equidae. The record is from RNAcentral.
AGGAGAUCACGCAUGACCUCUCCCGAAUGCUCACGGGACAUGGAGCUGCGCAUGCGCAGAACUUCCCUAGCCAGCAACCCCUACUUCACACCUAACUGAGCGAGCUCCCCGGUUGUGGCCCGGGAUGACAAUACCCGCGUAGCACUGAGCAGUGUCUGUGUUACACACUGAGAUGGUGGGCAGGUUAACAUAAGGUGCCCCUGUGCGAAGCUGGCGGUCAGCCGUGGGAUCAGUACUCCCGGAAGACACGACUCCCGGAAGACACGGCUGCCGGAGCUGCCUGGAUCCCAUCAGGGAAGCUUCCAGGAGUGCUGUGGCCAACAGUAGUAGUGGCUCCAAUGACAGCAGCAGUGAACUUCAGCACAACUCACUGGCCAGUAUUCUGGAGGAUGUGACACUGAUGUCAGCCAGAUUUUCAGUGGAGACAAUGGCACAAGAUGCCAACAGAAGCUUCUCCCAGGUUCUCUUCAGAUAUUUGAGCAUAUUUCCAGACCUCUUCAGGGAGAGGGCGUUUGACUCUGCUGAUGGGAACUUUGGCAGUUCUGUUUCUGAAGGGUAAAAAGGCUUGUUCCGUGACGUGACCUGUGGGAGAGAUUAUGGAGGUUUUCAACUGUACAUGCCGAAGGAGCAAACACCGCUUAAGCUAGGCUGUGCUUCCUAAACAAUUCCACUUCAAGAGGGCUCCUUGCUGUUCCCUGAGCCUUUGCAUCCACCACAUUCUCCACACUGUCUGCAGUUAGGUCUCGAUUCACAUGUCGCCUUUCCCGAUGACCCUAAAACGGCAAGAAUCCUUCCUACUUCGUGUGCCUUCACCAAGCUUCCUGCUCUAUUUCUCCACAUAGCACUUACCUGUCAAAUAUCUCUAUAUAAAUAAAAUAUAUGUAUUUAUAUAUAAUUUAUAAAUAAUAUAUAUAUUUCUGUAGUGUAUGUCAUCUCUCACCAUAAUAAAUUGUAUGAAAAAAAGGACUUUAAUUUCUUUCCUGUUAUCUUUUUGGUGUAUAAAACUUUGCCUGGUGCAGAGCAGGUGCUCAAAACAUUUUGUUAAAUGAAUGAAAUUAUGAACAGAUGUCAAUGAAGGUUCUUAAAUAAAAUAUUAUUGUGUAGAAAAUAAAUGUACACUUUAUAAUGCCUUCACAAUAAGGAAAGCCCCUGUUUACUCAUAUGUUUUACUGAAGGAUUAACACUCAACCUUCAACAAUAAAAAUUCAUGUUGUACAAAAUAAGGUGUGUGUGCUAACAAUAACUUGGAGUUUUUUUGCAUUAGUAAAAAUUAGGCAUUUUUUUCUGAAAAAGAGAAGGCAUCACAACAUUAUUGUUAUUAGUUAUUAGAAGAUAAAUGUUAUUAGAAGAUAAAUACAGAGUGGAAAUGUCUGAGACUUGAAUACUGUUAAACAGCGAUGUGCUCCUUUGUCAGAAUGUAAUUAUUAAUUUAUUUUUUAUAAGGGAUGUAUCUAUGUAAUAGGAAUUUUAGAAAAUACUGGAAACACUAAGAAGAAAAUGUAAAUCGCAUUUUAUUUCAUCAUCAGAGGUAACUGAUGUUAAUUUGAUAUAUACCUAAUAUGUGUUUUAGAUGAGAAUUACAAAGCAUUGGUAUUACAGUUUACGAGUUUUAUGAAACCUGGUAUUGUUCUAUUUAAUAAUAUAUCUAAAUAUCUUCUCAUGUUAUUAAAUGUUACCCUACAUGACAUUUUAAUAGCUUAAUAGUAUUUUACUUUAUGGAUGAAAACUAUUAAUUUAGUGAGUCCCGUAUUGUUGGACAUUUACAUUAUUUAUGAUUUUUCACUGUUACAAACAAUAUUUCAAAGAGCAUCCAUAUAGUAAAGCUUUAUACCUACCCAUGGUUAUCUCCUUAGAAUGAAUUUCUGUAAGUGGAAACUUUAGGUCACAGAAAGUAUGCACUUUUCACUCACUUUAUAUUUACCUCCAAAUUAUUCUCCAGAAAGAGUAUGGCAAAUUUUUCUUCCUACAUCAGUGUACAGAGUAUAAGUAAAUUAAUUUUAUAUAAUGAGGAGGAAAUGUUAUUUUGACAGCUAAGUUCAAAGUUUAUUUUAAAAUAAAAGCUUUUGUUUGGAAAAUCACUUUAAUAUAUGCUUAUGGUAGAAGGUAAGCUUCCCGAGGGCUUACAAGUCAAUAGCUGCUUUGUAUGGGGCAAGGGGAGAAAAAAGGCUUUUUUCAUACUGAGUUGGGUAAGAUGGUGAGAGUUCUGGACCAUUGGAAGGGCCAGUAAAACCCCAUGGAAGUCAGGAGUUUCAAUGGUAUGUGAAUAUCAUUCUUCAGAAAACAAACAAACAAAAAUACUACUGUAAAGUUGUUUGCGUUGUUGUUACAAGUUAUGUAAAGUUAACUCAUGAGAAGCUUGUGUGAAUGGAGUUUUUAGUAGAAGUUGAAGGGAGGUUGAUUAUUAUCUUGGGGUCACUGUGGGGUAGCAUUUGAGUUGAUAAACAGGGAGCUAGGAACCCAGGAAAAGAAGGGAUGAUGAAAGUCAAGUCCUCAAGAAUGUGCCGAAAUCUUGGUGAGAAGCUUGUAUUUCCUAGUUCAUUGGGACAGUGGAGAGACAGCAAUGAUUGAGUGACGUUUGUUAAUUUCCUGGGGGCGUGGAGGCUCCCACCUGACAUCUGACUUAUAUAUUAGUAAACUCUAGAUAUUAGUUUUGAAGACCUUUUAAUGUGAAUAUUAAAGUUGUCACAGCAGGCAAUGUUCAAAGCUAGUUCUGUUAUUGUUGCCAUUAGAUCCAGAAUAGUGAGGCUGGUAGAACCCCUUAAUUCGUGUUUUCUUUUGGUCAUGAUGAGAUAGAUAAAAGUAUACAGUGACUGUAAAGAGAGAUCAGCAUGAAAAAGUGUAAGCCUGGGUUGGGUUGUCAGAUUUGGCAAAUAAAAAUAUUGCAUAUUAAUACCAAAAAAAUGUUCAUUGUUUCUCUGAAAUUCAAAUUUAAUUGGUGUCUUGUAUUUUAUCUGGCAAACUUAAGCUUGAGUUUCUAAUAAGGACGAAGCGACCAUUCAGGAGAUGCG